AAAAGAUUAAAAAAAAAGUCAUCAUAUCAAUAAAGAUAAUUCAUCGAAAAAAAAUUAAGUUCUUUGUUUAUACAUCUGUAUAUAUGGGCAUGUGUGCGAAAACAGACAAAAUGUAUGUAUGCCAAUAGAAAAGAUCACAACAAAAAAGACAAAAUACGCACCAAAGUAGUGUCUAGUCCCGUUCGUUUGUUCCCUGCUCUUCACACGAGCGCUCGUAUUUGCUGAGCGCGAGAGAGAGAGUCGUCUCAGUAUGAAUGCUGCCGAUUAUGCUUUUUUCCCGUCAGAUCUGGCUUUUUUUGAAGACCAGCGGUAGUUCUGUAUUUAUUAUAAAAAGUUGGCAGCACCUCUCAGCAUCUUUGCUGCUGUUUCUAAGAGAACCAUAGAAUGAAGGAUAAAAAGAGAACUGCCGUCGAGUAACCGCCGCGAUUGAAAGAGAGGAGAACACCAAACAACAUUUAAAUUUUGCUACCCUAUCUCCGAAUCUCCGCUAUUCGAGAAACGAUUGCUGCUGAGGAAAUUGGCAGCAGACUUUAUGGACAUCUAUUUCCACUGGACGGGACGCUGAAAACGCACAGUCAGCGUCUUUGCGGCCUCUCUGCUAAAAAGCUUCAACAUGCUUCCAUAUUUACCACUGGAGACCCUUGACAAAGUGUUCGGAUACCUGAAUGAGAAAGAGCAAGUGAAAGCGGCCCAAGUCCACCCGCAGCUUGGCCGCGCAUUUGCUUACCACGUUGGAGGGAAUUACAAGCGACUGAAUUGCUGCCAUUUUGUAGGCGACACUUUUGUACUCCGCUAUACGUACGACGAGUUUAGAGUUAUUCUGUCACUGUGCGGGUCCACUGUUGUGGAUAUUUCAAUCAAAUCUAGUGAUGUAACGGAUCGAAUUGGAGAACUAAUAGAAAAGUACUGCAUUAACCUCGAAUCUGCCUUUAUCGAGGUUACAGAUGGAAAUUUCAACGCGAUCAAACGUGUUUUAAGCAUGAAAGGGCUACACGAUCUUGUCUUGAAUUGUUACCGUUAUCGCGGAUCGGAUCUGUUGUAGCACAUAAAUCCAAACUGCACAAAAUUGUGUUUAAUGGGAAUGACUACGGACCAGGAGGAACAUUAAGGCAACAACUGUGGCACCAAAAAUGGUAUUUUAAAAUUUAUAUUCUCCGAAUUACUGGAGUCCUUUAUUCAGGUUUUAAAGGAAAACGGUUUCAGCACACAGAAACGCUUCAAAUUGGUAGGGGACUUGGAUAAAACCGAUGAACUUAAGCAGGAAUUGAUGAACAAACUGCCGAAUUCCGAAGUGUGGGACUUGAUUACAUUGACUGACAUCCAGAUUUACUGCACAUGAUUAUUAAAAUAGAUUUGCUAGAAUACUAAAUAUGUAUACCACAUAUAAGAAUUAAAACUUGUCAGUCUACCAUUUUGGGGCAAUCUCUAA
Drosophila pseudoobscura is the source of this 1429-nucleotide long non-coding RNA. RefSeq lists it as uncharacterized. The transcript is spliced from 3 exons. Lineage: Eukaryota; Metazoa; Arthropoda; Insecta; Diptera; Drosophilidae. The record is from RefSeq and is a predicted model, not a curated record.